AAGGGAGACCCAAUUCCGGUAGGAGACGAAAAAAAAGUAGUCCCAACCAAGAAUCAAUCCCAAAAGGUCGGAACGAGGUAUGAGGCUUCAAACUAGGUUCUGGGUUCAUAAAAGACCUGAAUCAGGAACAAGGGCUAUUAGCUCAGGUGGUUAGAGCGCACCCCUGAUAAGGGUGAGGUCCCUGGUUCGAGUCCAGGAUGGCCCACCUGCACAGGUGGCAAAAACAAGAGAAGCUCCGAAUCAGCACCUUAUCUUAUAUACAUAUAUAAGAGAGAAUGCUGGCUCUGAGUACAGAGUCCAGAGGAACCUUGAAAACUGCAUAGAGCUAGGUGAAAAAGCCAAAAAAGAAGACCGCAA
This 357-nucleotide transfer RNA is filed under the name uncultured Microcystis sp. RNAcentral describes it as "partial 16S-23S ribosomal RNA intergenic spacer". The stretch from base 132 to 205 matches the Rfam family "tRNA". Lineage: Bacteria; Bacillati; Cyanobacteriota; Cyanophyceae; Chroococcales; Microcystaceae. The record is from RNAcentral.